This 529-nucleotide ribosomal RNA is filed under the name Kribbella sp. 306C01. RNAcentral describes it as "bacterial SSU rRNA". It matches the Rfam family "Bacterial small subunit ribosomal RNA", at positions 93 to 636 of the family's 1533-position model. Lineage: Bacteria; Bacillati; Actinomycetota; Actinomycetes; Propionibacteriales; Kribbellaceae. The record is from RNAcentral.
GAGCGGCGAACGGGUGAGUAACACGUGAGCAACCUACCCUUCACUUCGGGAUAAGCCUCGGAAACGGGGUCUAAUACCGGAUAUCACCUCAUUCUUCAUGGUUUGGGGUUGAAAGUUCUGGCGGUGGGGGAUGGGCUCGCGGCCUAUCAGCUUGUUGGUGGGGUAAUGGCCUACCAAGGCGUCGACGGGUAGCCGGCCUGAGAGGGCGACCGGCCACACUGGGACUGAGACACGGCCCAGACUCCUACGGGAGGCAGCAGUGGGGAAUAUUGCGCAAUGGACGGAAGUCUGACGCAGCAACGCCGCGUGAGGGAUGACGGCCUUCGGGUUGUAAACCUCUUUCAGCAGGGACGAAGCGAGAGUGACGGUACCUGCAGAAGAAGGACCGGCCAACUACGUGCCAGCAGCCGCGGUAAUACGUAGGGUCCGAGCGUUGUCCGGAAUUAUUGGGCGUAAAGGGCUCGUAGGCGGUUCGUCGCGUCGGGAGUGAAAACUCGGAGCUCAACUCCGAGCCUGCUUCCGAUACGGG